CACCUCAUUGUUUACCUUAUUGUUCAAGUGAAGAAAAUUACACGGUUUGUGGUUGAUGGCUUGGCAAAAGUAAUGACCACAUUUUGGCUUUAAAUAUGUCAUGAAAUGCUUAAAGGGUCCCAUACUCAUUUUAUACGUCCAAAGAUGGAAGAAAGUGGAAAAAGCUUUCUAUAAUAUUCAACAUACUUUGUUGGGGCAGCCAUACUCUUUCUUGCAACGAGAUUUCCAAAAUCCCACAAUCAAUAAAGAAAAAUGAAAGAGGGACCACCUUUGCCACAUUCUCUCGUCCACAUGCAUAUACAAAAUGCAAGCAUCAAUUUAAAUUGGAGAAGGGGAUUCACGAAAGUCAAUCAUACAAAAAAGAAUCUCCUUUCCUAAAGGGCCACCACCACUCACGGUUAUGUCUACAUGGCAUACGGAAAUCAUUCUGAGAAAGUAGAAAACCAUACUGCCCAUCAUUCUUUUUGGUUUGCACACACAGCAGCCCCACACUUGCGGUAUUAAGAGGCAGCAGCAAGGACAAUACAGUGGAAGAGCACGGUGAGGGCUGAUUUCAUUAGGAUCUUUCACUCAACCAGCAGAGGCGGCAGCAUCACGUCCAGCAUGGAGGCAGCCCUUAUGCACAUCACGCUCCAGCUUCAUCAACAAAAAUCCAACAUUGUGAAACAGCCUCUCAUGGAAGCUCACGGCCCCUUUGGAGCAGCCCACAUGGAUGAAGGUAGCAAUGAGGAAGUAACAACACCCAAGGAAGGCACUAGCUUGGCACAAGGGGUUCUGAAUUGAAAGCACACAGCAGCUGAAGGCCCUCACAGAAGCAACACACGUUGAUGAAGAGCUCCAUCCAGCACCCUUGGAGAACAUCACGGUCCAGCCACCAAAGAAGCACGAUCAACCAGCAGCCAAUUGAGAGAAGAAAAGAGAGAGAUGUACGGUGAAGCAAAGAAAGACAUGGCUGGAAGAGAAAGCUGGAGCACACCACCGUCCAGCAAGCUCACGGCUGAUACAAGAAAGCAGUGAUGGAGUUCCUCUUUUAUUUGGUGCACACGGAGAAGUGAAGUAGACAGCACAUCCAGCUGCCUUUGAAAGAAGCAAUGGUCCAACAUCAAGAGAAGGAGCUGUGAAGGGCUGGAACAGUCACGGUCCAUCAAAGGAAAUGGCUUCAAGCAUCCAAAACAGAAACAAGCACCCGUGAGCAACAAUAAAAAAAGAAUGUGCAGGAUAAAUGAGGAAGAAGAGGACAAAUAUUAGUUGGCAAACUCACGGGUUCAGAUUUUUGGUUAUAAAACCAGCAGCAGCAGAAGAGAAGGGAUACCAGAGAUUUUAGGUAGUUAGUUUAGGAUAACAGACGGUCUGGAGGAGGCUCUCGCCUCUUCCUCUUUGUUUUCCAUUUUCCAUUUCAAAUAGUAAAAUGAUGUAGAACUUUAUUUCUGAAGCAUAUGGAGAGGCGUUACUGGAAGAAACACUGGAAGAUGAAAAUUUGGAGGACGCCAAUCUCGUAGAAGUGGAAGUGAA
RNAcentral lists this small RNA (1512 nucleotides) under Vigna angularis var. angularis. RNAcentral describes it as "Non-protein coding transcript". The record is from RNAcentral. Lineage: Eukaryota; Viridiplantae; Streptophyta; Magnoliopsida; Fabales; Fabaceae.